RNAcentral lists this RNase P RNA (399 nucleotides) under Flexibacter flexilis DSM 6793. RNAcentral's name for it is "Bacterial RNase P class A". It matches the Rfam family "Bacterial RNase P class A". From Rfam's summary of the family: Ribonuclease P (RNase P) is a ubiquitous endoribonuclease, found in archaea, bacteria and eukarya as well as chloroplasts and mitochondria. Its best characterised activity is the generation of mature 5'-ends of tRNAs by cleaving the 5'-leader elements of precursor-tRNAs. Lineage: Bacteria; Pseudomonadati; Bacteroidota; Cytophagia; Cytophagales; Flexibacteraceae. The record is from Rfam by way of RNAcentral.
GAUGUGGGGCAUCUUAUCGCUGCAACUCGCCUAAGAGUUGAAGAGGAAAGUCUGGGCAACAUAGGGCAACCGUACUUCCUAACGGGAAGGAGCAUAAGGUCUAAAGCCUUGUGUUACAGAAAGUGCAACAGAGAAGAUACCGCCUGCUUUCGGGCAGGUAAGGGUGAAAUGGUAGAGUAAGAGCCUACCGCUUUGCUGGCGACAGCAAAGGCAUGGCAAACCUUACGGGUUGAAAAACCAAAUAGGCUGGCGCAACUCCGCUUGCGGAGGGAAAGGGCUGCCCGCUCGAUGCCAGUGGGUAGGUUGAUGGAGCAUUGGCGUGAGCCUCUGCCUAGAUAAAUGAUAAGACGUUUGCCUCGUGCAAACUGACAGAACCCGGCUUAUCGCCCCACAUUUUUU